RNAcentral lists this ribosomal RNA (3570 nucleotides) under Patescibacteria group bacterium. RNAcentral's name for it is "partial 23S ribosomal RNA". It matches the Rfam family "Bacterial large subunit ribosomal RNA", at positions 1 to 2594 of the family's 2925-position model. The record is from RNAcentral.
UACGGGAGCAUGAAGGGUGCACGGUGGAUGCCUUGGCCUAGAGCGGCGAUGAAGGACGUGAUUAGCCUGCGAUAAGCUUCGGGGAGGCGGCUAUUAGCCUGUGAUCCGGAGAUGUCCGAAUGGGGAAACCCCUCUACUUCUAGUAGAGAUCCGUGGAGUCAUGUCCACGAGAAGCGAACCCGGGGAAGUGAAACAUCUCAGUACCCGGAGGAAAAGAGAACAAUAGGAAUGUGUCUCCGUGCGCACAUGCUUGUGCGUAUGGAGACCCAUUCCACGUCAUUCCCCAAGUAGCGGCGAGCGAAAAGGGAGAAGCCCAAACCGUACUCUUCGGAGGACGGGGUUGUAAGGUAUGGACGUCUAGCUUGCUAGAGAAGAGUUACCAAUCGUCAUCAUAGCCGAAGCUGCUGGGAAGCAGCGCCCCAGAGGGUAAUGGCCCCGUAGGCGAAAUGCUGACGACUCUUUUGUCCAUAUUCUUGAGUAGUUCGAGACAUGAAUAGCUCGAAUGAAUCUGCCGGAACUAACCGGUAAGGCUACAUACGCUCUAUGACCGAUAGCGAACUAGUACCGUGAGGGAAAGGUGAAAAGCACCCCGAGAGGGGAGUGAAAUAGAACUGAAACCGUGCACUUACAAAGGGUCGGAGCCCGUUCCCGCAAGGGAGGGUGACGGCGUGCCUAUUGAAGAAUGAGCCUGCGAGUGUAUCUACGUCGCGUGUCUAAGGGGUUACGCCCCGGAGGCUAAGCGAAAGCGAGCGUUAAUAGCGCGUCUGCGGCGUCGAUACGACCCGAAGCCAGGUGAGCUUGCCAUGAGCAGGGUGAAGGUUGCCGAAAGGCAGCUGGAGGCCCGAACCCGUUCGUCGUACAACGCGUUGGGAUGACUUGUGGUAAGGAGUGAAAAGCUAAUCGAACCUGGGAAUAGCUGGUUCUCUCCGAAACAGCUUUUGGGCUGGCGUCGCCAUAUGCGCAGUGGGGGGUAGAGCACUGGAAGGGGCCAACAGGGAGAAAUCUCGUGGUCCCUAUCAAACUCCGAAUACCCGCUGCUCGGGCGGCAGUUAGAAGGUGGGGGCGAAGCUCCAUCGAUCGAGAAGGGAAGAGCCUAGAUCGCCAGUUAAGGCCCCAAAAUCGACGCUCAGUACAUCACAAGGAAGUGCGGAUUCACUGACAGCGAGGAUGUUGGCUUAGAAGCAGCCACCAUUCAAAGAAAGCGUAACAGCUCACUCGUCGAGAGUCCGUGCGCCGAAGAUGAUCGGGGUUAAGCGUCGUGCCGAAACUGCGGGUUUGCCGCGUACGUGUACGCGGCAAGCGGUAGGAGAGCGUUCUGUUCGCGAUGAAGCCGCAGGGGUGACCCGCGGUGGAGCGUUCAGAAGUGAGAAUGCAGGUACAAGUAACCACAAUGCGGGUGAGAACCCCGCACGUCGAAAGACCAAGGUUUCCGGAGCUAUGGUGAUCAUCUCCGGGUUAGUCGGGCCUAAGGGGAUGGCGAGAGCCGCACCCGAUGGACACACGGUCAAUAUUCCGUGACCGUUCGUAAGGCGAAGGAGUGACGGACUGCUGUAGCUGCCGCCCAUUAUUGGAUUUGGGUCGGCGCGGUGAGCGCGCGUGGUAGGCAAAUCCGCCACGCACUAGCGCGAGCCGCGACGCAAUUUCCUCCUACGGGGGGAGAGAGGGCAGCGAGCGCGGUUCCAAGAAAACCUCCUAGCAUUCAACUUGCGAACGACCGUACCGCAAACCGACACAGGUGGUCAGGGCGAGUAGCCCAAGACGAACGAGUGAGAGAUCCUCAAGGAACUCGGCAAACAAGCGGCCGUAAGUUCGCGAUAAGGCCUGCCCCUUCGCCCGCAAGGGCGGCGGGGCCGCAGCGAAAGAUUGCCUGGCAACUGUUUACCAAAAACACAGCUCCCUGCGAACUCGUAAGAGGAAGUAUAGGGGGUGACGCCUGACCGAUGCCGGUAGGUUAAGUACGGGCGGUACAUGCUUUCGGGUAUGUGCUGGACUGUAUAUGCCCCGGUGAAUGUCGGCGAUAACUAUGGACGAUCGUAGUUAUAAAAUUCAGCUAAAUGCGGGAAACUCUGGUUAGGACUCCGCGCUACUCGGGAUGAAAGACUCCCUGUAACAAUGCGCGAGUGCAGACAAUCCGCAGGAAAGACCCAACAUGAAAAACAUCAACGACAUACCGCCCCAUAUAGGGUGGUACAUCGCAGGAUUCGUAGACGGAGAAGGGAGCUUCAACGUUUCCUUCCGUCAGCGGCCUGAUCAUACGAUCGGGUGGCAGACGGUACUAACGUUCAAUGUCGCGCAACGCGACAAGACCGUGCUCGCGCUUAUGAAGCAGCACCUUGGGUGCGGUCGACUGCAAGCGCGACGCGAUGGCGUCUGGUACUACGUCGUGGCGAAUCCGCGAUCCAUAGAAGAGCGGAUCAUUCCGUUCUUCGAGCGGUUCGGAUUCUUGUCCGCUAAAUCCAAGAAGAACUUCAAACUCUUCAAGGACAUCGCGCACCAGGUGUUUCAGAAGAAGCAUCUGACACGGCAAGGGCUCGAAGAGAUAGCGCAACUUCGCGAACUUCUGAACGAAGGUCGCGGCAGGAAGCGCAAAUAUACCAUCGAGCAUAUCGUUGGCGAUGGGGUUGGGAAUCCUCAGAGACUACACGCUGAACUGGGCGAGAGCUCAGAUGAUAUAGUCCGAACUCACGGGCGAUCGUGAGAGUUGCCGCUUCGCGGCAGAGUAACAAAGUGAAUCGUCCUAAGGUCUCACGCUCGACGACAGUCGAACGUGGGAGGAUUGGGACCCAUUAUAGUCGGUAAAUAGGUUGCGCUAUUCGAAGCUACCUUCCGGUAUAGCAAUGUACCGGUUAAUCCUAAACACGACUCACAUGAGAGGCCAUACGUCGUGCCCGUUUCGGCGGUGAAGAUAUGGUCCAGGUUCGAGGAAUACCUGAGCGCAAUUCCUUGUCGGGUAAAUUCCGACGUGCACGAAUGGCGUAAUGACUGGGCAGCUGUCUCGAGGAUUCGCUCGGUGAAAAUGCACUUCCGGUGAAGAUGCCGGAUACCUGUAGUUAGACGAAAAGACCCCAGGAGCUUUACUACAGCUUCGUAUUGGCCCUGCGGGAUGUAUGCGUAGCAUAGGUGGGAGAGGUUGAAGCGGCGCUCUUGGGUGCCGUGGACUCGUCAGUGAAAUACCACUCUUACAUCCGGCAGUGCCUAACCGGUAGGGCGGAACCCUAUCGGGACCGUGCGUGGCAGGUAGUUUUGGUGGGGCGCUAUCCUCCUAAAAAGUAACGGAGGAGCCUAUUAAGGUCAGCUAGGCGCGAAUGGAAACCGUGCCGAUAGUGUAAUGGCAUAAGCUGGCUUAACUGCAAGGGGGACAUCCCGAGCAGAUGCGAAAGCAGAGCAUAGUGAUCCGACCUUCCGCCUUAGACGCGGAGGAAGCUCAACGGAUAAAAGUUACCCUGGGGAUAACAGGCUAGUUCCGCCCAAGCGUCCAUAGCGACGGCGGAGUUCGGCACCUCGAUGUCGGCUCACCUUAGCGCGGGGGUGGAGAAGCUCCCAAGCGUUUGGCUGUUCGCCAAUUAAAAA